AUUGAACGCUGGCGGCAUGCUUUACACAUGCAAGUCGAACGGGUGGCGAACGGGUGAGUAAUAUAUCGAAACGUACCGAUUAAUGGGGGAUAACCCAUCAAACGGUUGGCUAAUACCGCAUAUUAUUCAUGCGGCCGAUAUCUGAUUAGCUAGUUGGUGGGUUAAAGGCCUACCAAGGCGACGAUCAUUAGCGGGUCUGAGAGGAGGAUCGGCCACACUGGGACUGAGACACGGCCCAGACUCCUACGGGAGGCAGCAGUGGGGAAUUUUGGACAAUGGGGGCAAGCCUGAUCCAGCCAUGCCGCGUGUAUGAAGAAGGCCUUCGGGUUGUAAAGUACUUUUGGUAGGGAAGCGGUACCUAAAGAAGAAGCACCGGCUAACUACGUGCCAGCAGCCGCGGUAAUAC
Molecule: ribosomal RNA, 406 nt
Filed under: uncultured bacterium
Lineage: Bacteria
Description: partial 16S ribosomal RNA
Rfam family: Bacterial small subunit ribosomal RNA
Source: RNAcentral